This 773-nucleotide ribosomal RNA is filed under the name uncultured Neocallimastigales. RNAcentral describes it as "partial large subunit ribosomal RNA". It matches the Rfam family "Eukaryotic large subunit ribosomal RNA", at positions 20 to 627 of the family's 3401-position model. The record is from RNAcentral. Lineage: Eukaryota; Fungi; Neocallimastigomycota; Neocallimastigomycetes; Neocallimastigales.
ACUAGAGUAGCACUCGCAUAUCAAUAAGCGGAGGAAAAGAAACUAACAAGGAUUCCCCUAGUAACGGCGAGUGAAGCGGGAAGAGCUCAAAUUUGAAAUCUUAAAGGGUUUCCCUUUACGAAUUGUAGUUUAAAGAAGUGUUUUCUGUUGAGGUUUGGUAAAAGUUCUUUGGAAUAGGACAUCAUAGAGGGUGAGAAUCCCGUAUUUGACCUUUACUUUCAACUUUGUGAUACACUUUCAAAGAGUCGGAUUAUUUGGGAAUUGCAGUCCAAAAUGGGUGGUAAAUUUCAUCUAAAGCUAAAUAUUGGCGAGAGACCGAUAGCGAACAAGUACCGUGAGGGAAAGAUGAAAAGAACUUUGAAAAGAGAGUUAAACAGUACGUGAAAUUGUCAAAAGGGAAGCGUUUGACACCAGUGUUGUUUUUCUGAAAAUCAAUUAAAGAACUGUUUAUGCUAAGCUGUUUAGACUUUAUCAGCUAUCUGUUUAGUUUUGAGUUUUUCUUUAAUGCACUUUUCAGUUAACAAGUCAACAUCAAUUUCUUUUGCUGUAAAAAAGCUUGAGGAAGGUGGCUUGAGAUUCGUCUUAAGUGUUUAUAGCCUCUUGCCUAUGCAGUCGGAGAGAUUGAGGUCUGCAGCGUAGAUCCUUCGGGGCUAAAUGCAUUUGUGCUAAGUUAUAGCAUUUUAUAGACAACUUGUUGACUAUGAUUUGUCUUGUAGCUUACUCGCUUAUGUUAUUUUACCUACGCUUAGGAUGUUGAACUCUAUCACACACAG